RNAcentral lists this transfer RNA (74 nucleotides) under Limibacillus halophilus. RNAcentral's name for it is "tRNA-Gly". It matches the Rfam family "tRNA". From Rfam's summary of the family: Transfer RNA (tRNA) molecules are approximately 80 nucleotides in length. The record is from RNAcentral. RNAcentral also lists the same sequence under 21 other names. Lineage: Bacteria; Pseudomonadati; Pseudomonadota; Alphaproteobacteria; Rhodospirillales; Rhodovibrionaceae.
GCGGGUGUAGCUCAAUGGUAGAGCUCCAGCCUUCCAAGCUGGCUAUGAGGGUUCGAUUCCCUUCACCCGCUCCA